AGUGAACGCUGGCGGCAGGCCUAAUACAUGCAAGUCGAACGGCAGCACAGCAGAGCUUGCUCUGUGGGUGGCGAGUGGCGGACGGGUGAGGAAUACAUGGGAAUCUGCCCAGUCGUGGGGGAUAACGUAUGGAAACGUACGCUAAUACCGCAUGCGCCCUACGGGGGAAAGUCGGGGACCGCAAGGCCUGACGCGAUUGGAUGAGCCCAUGUUCGAUUAGCUAGUUGGCGGGGUAAAGGCCCACCAAGGCGACGAUCGAUAGCUGGUCUGAGAGGAUGAUCAGCCACACUGGAACUGAGACACGGUCCAGACUCCUACGGGAGGCAGCAGUAGGGAAUAUUGGACAAUGGGCGCAAGCCUGAUCCAGCCAUGCCGCGUGAGUGAAGAAGGCCCUCGGGUUGUAAAGCUCUUUUGUCCGGAAAGAAAAGCAAUCGGUUAAUACCCGGUUGUUCUGACGGUACCGGAAGAAUAAGCACCGGCUAACUUCGUGCC
This 492-nucleotide ribosomal RNA is filed under the name uncultured bacterium. RNAcentral's name for it is "bacterial SSU rRNA". It matches the Rfam family "Bacterial small subunit ribosomal RNA", at positions 29 to 509 of the family's 1533-position model. The record is from RNAcentral.